RNAcentral lists this ribosomal RNA (253 nucleotides) under uncultured bacterium. Its description in RNAcentral is "partial 16S ribosomal RNA". It matches the Rfam family "Archaeal small subunit ribosomal RNA", at positions 474 to 727 of the family's 1478-position model. The record is from RNAcentral.
UACCAGCACCCCGAGUGGUCGGGACGAUUAUUGGGCCUAAAGCAUCCGUAGCCGGUUUUACAAGUCCUCCGUUAAAUCCAGCUGCUUAACAGAUGGGCUGCGGAGGAUACUAUAAGACUAGGAGGCAGGAGAGGCAAGCGGUACUCAGUGGGUAGGGGUAAAAUCCGUUGAUCCAUUGAAGACCACCAGUGGCGAAGGCGGCUUGCCAGAAUGCGCCCGACGGUGAGGGAUGAAAGCUGGGGGAGCAAACCGG